This 23-nucleotide transfer RNA is filed under the name Canistropsis pulcherrima. Its description in RNAcentral is "partial tRNA-Phe". Lineage: Eukaryota; Viridiplantae; Streptophyta; Magnoliopsida; Poales; Bromeliaceae. The record is from RNAcentral.
GUCGGGAUAGCUCAGUGUNGGUA